Molecule: non-coding RNA, 88 nt
Filed under: Terribacillus aidingensis
Lineage: Bacteria; Bacillati; Bacillota; Bacilli; Caryophanales; Bacillaceae
Also listed under: 1 other name
Description: Glycine sequence
Rfam family: Glycine riboswitch aptamer
About the family: This family represents the bacterial glycine riboswitch. Glycine riboswitches usually consist of two metabolite-binding aptamers domains with similar structures in tandem. The aptamers cooperatively bind glycine to regulate the expression of downstream genes.
Source: Rfam by way of RNAcentral
GUGAAUGUUGGAGGAGAGACCGCUAUAUGCGGCGCCGAAGGAGCAAAUAUUGAGUGAAUCUCUCAGGCAAAAGAACUCCAACAGGACG